GUGUAGGCAGCGGAGCGGCUGCGGAGCGGCGGCGGCGGUGGCGUCGGGAGCCCCGGCCCCGCGAUAAAAGGGAAGGGGCCGGGCGGCGGGCGGCGCGCGUUGCGGCACUGGGGGGAGCGUGGCCGGGAAGGAGGGAGGGAGCGAAGGAGCCGCCUCCCGCAGGAAUCCCGGGCAGGCGGCAGUAGCAGCGGCGGCAGCCGGGACGCGCGGCUCCCCCUGCCUGCGCGGCGGCAGGAGGCGGGUGAGCAUCGAGGAGCAGCCGCCGCCUCAUCCUGCGGCAGCGGCCGGCGCUGCCCGGCGAGCGCAGGUGGCAGUGUAGAAGCCAAGAACAAAAAUUGGCAGAAAUUAUAUUCUGUAUACGAGAGAAUGAAGAGUAUACUCAUGACUAAGCACAGGAACCUGGAAAACCACAGGAUUCCUGGGAAGCCACGGAGGAUGGGGUGAACUCAGAGCUGGAGCAUGAGGAGUUCUUUGGAACUUGUGAAUGGUUCUAGGAAGGCUUUCUGUCUAAACCUUUAAAUUGCUUCUGAGAGAACAUGGUGAUCCCACAAAUGUUCACAGAUGACCAAGUCACCUUGUACAAAGUGAGAACACAUUUGCAGGCAGUUUAUUUCACUGACCAUCAUGUUGCUCAUCACUUACUUAUGUAUGGUGACCCGCUUAGGCAUAGCUGGGGUGGAUGAAGUGUGCAGAACUAAGGCAUGUAUGGCCACGUAAUUCUCAUUGUUAUCACUUAUUAAGCAAAACAGCUAAGCAGUUCAUCCAACUUAAAUGUGGCUAUUUACAAAGGCUUUGAAAUUUUUUUUUCUGAUGUAGUACAGGUCAGCAUAUGCUUGUGGCUUUGUCAAACACUGCUGAGUUCAUUAGUUUGUGCCGAUGUGUUGAGAACAGAAAAUGAAAAUGUUACGGGUACAAAAUUUUAAUGUGGUCUCCCAUUACAUCAAGUGUUUGCCAAAAUAUUAAAUAAAACUGUUAACUAAGCAACGUGCUGCUCAAGAGUUCAAUCUACAGACGCUUCUCUGUGCUAAUUAGGAAGUAUUGACAUCAAUGAAUGAAACUACUUGUUAAAGUGCCUUCUACAGUCUGUAGCAGUUAUGUGUUCAUGAGAUGAUUCAUAGCAUUCAGCAAGUUGUGAUGAGUUUCCCUGCCAUUACUGGAGAUUAUGAAGUAUCUACUGUAUUUGCACUACAUUUUUUUUAAAUUAAAUUUGAUGGUGGAAAGGGGAAGAAUUUUCUAUCAACUGAAAGAUCAGGCCUAUUUUCUGAAUUCAUUCAUUAUUUUUCUCUUUACUGUAUGGUGCAAUCUAUCAUUAACAAUAAAAUGAAAUGUUUAAUUGUUUUGUCCAUAAAUACAGCAGUGUGUGUAAAAACUCUCAGGACUUAUUUUGUUCUUGAAAAUUGUGUGCAUCAUGUCAAGUCUGCUAUAUUGUAUUAGUUGUAACUGAAAGAAGAGUUUUCAGUAAGAAACCUGAAUUUGACAUCUAAAACAGCAGAACCAGCACAGAAUACUCUCUGAUUGCGUGCAGGAUGUAUUCAUAGGUGCUACUCUUAUUAAGGGUACUGCAAAUGUUGCAUCUUAGAAAACUGUCCAGUGAUUGUUUUGAACUGAAAGCUGUGGCUGGUUGUGCAUGUUGUUGCCUUAAAACUGUGCAAGCCCCUCAAUGCACUCAGUCAUUUCACACUAAAACAACAAUGGGUAUAAUCUAUUGGACUACGAAGUAUCAUUGCUUCAAUGGCUUAAUGGCUUCAAGCUGCACCAGGGAAGAUUCAGGCUGGACAUUAGGAAAUACUACUUCUCUGAAAGGGUGGUCAGGCACUGGAAUGGGCUGCCCAGAGUGAUGGUUGAGUCACCGACCGUGGAGGUGUUCAAAGAGCGUUUGGAUGUUGUGUUGAGGGACAUAGUUUAGCAAGAACCAUUGGUGAUGAGUGAAGAAAUGGUUGGACUGGAUGAUCCUGUGGGUCUUUUCCAACCUUAGCAAUUCUAUGAUUCUAUGCUUGACUCUUAGCAGAAAUGUUUGUUAAUGUUUGUAUGUCUGAGGCCAUCUAGAUCUAGCUUAGGCACUUUGGCUAUUCAGAUUAAUGAGACUGAUGCCAGUUCUCCAGUUAGAAAAGGGUAGCAUUUUAUUAAUCUUGGUGUUAGUACCUGUUAAACCAAAGAUAUAGUUACAGCACUGGAAGAUACCAUUGUAGGCUAUUAUAACUUAAGGAGGCUCUUGUGAAAGUCACAACGUGUAUACAGUAAGUAUCCUUAGCUUGCAAAUGUGUGAAAUAAAGCUCCAGGCAUGUAGUCCUUCAGCUAUCUCUAGGUUGGAUGCCUCUGGACUUGUUAUACAAGUGUAUCUUAAUGUAGAAGGAUAUCAAAAUUUUAAAGAAGAAAUGAUCCUGAAAUUAUAUUUUGUAGAUGAGAUCUUUCUCUCAGGUGUUGGCCAGGUUUCUUUUUUCUCAAGAAUGUCCUUCCAUGGUGUUGAUCCUCAGUGAUAGUAGGAUAUUUCCUGUUGUGGUAAGAAGGUGCACUUAAGUGAAGUGCAAGUGGAUUUAUGAUGCUGGAAGGGAGCACAUCAUAACUUUCCAACUGCAUGCCAAACUGGUUGACAUCAAGAGAAGACUAGACUAUCUCAGUACCUUACAUGAGGAUGAGUGGAAAGAGCAUAUGGGUCAAGAAGAUGCAGCCUCUGGGUCUGGAAGUCCUUAACAUUGCUACGUGUAGGACACAAGUUGACAAAGAAUGAUGUAGGAAACAGUGUAGAAGUGCUUGAACAAAUUCAGUCUCAUAUAGAGAGGAGUCUGGAAGGAGGGAUGAUCAGAUUAAAAUAGAAGAGUUGCUAUGCAGCACCUAGAAGUCUAGAACCAGGUAUUUAGUCUCCAUUUUAUUUUUUGAAGCAAGUUAUUGAUGGUAUAGAUGUACAAGAGAUAAGCUAGCAGAAUGCACGUUAGGAUGUCUGAAAAAGCCUGGUAAGAGGACAAACCAAAAGAAUAAGAUGCUUGCAGCCAAUUUAAAAAAGUCAUUGAUCAGAGAUCCAGAACAAGUAAAUAUCCUGUAGCAACUUCUUCUCUGACUCUUUAAAAAAUUACAAACAAAAAAAAAUUAGCUUGGAUAAGCUGCAGAAUAGGCUAUAAGAAAUGUAUAUCCUUCAAAAACUUGUAUUGUCUGGUCAUUUCUGCCAUUGCCUCCUCCAAGAAAAGUAAUACAUGUGAAACUUGGCUGAAUUCAGAACAAAAUGCACAGUAAAAGCAGUGAAAGUCUAUGUGAUUUAUAAAACGUCAAGAAGCUUGUCAGAAGUCAUCUUUAAAAACAUUGGAAAGGAAAGAGCCAUUGAGCCAAUAGAUGACUGAGAUUUGUAGCGCUCAAAGAAGAUUGCACUGCAUCAGAGUUACUGAUGUGAGUUGUUCAUAUUUGCUGUGCUGGGGCACUGAAUUUGCCAAAGAUCUGUAUAUCUCCCAGUGUAAAAUGCUGAACUGGUGACUGCGAUGUUUAGUCUCACAGUAUUGCUUUGGUACCAGUGAAGCUGAGGUCAGCAAAUGUGAUGUCUGUUUUUAAGAAGGCUACCAGGAAACUUACAGGAAAGAACAGGACAAGUAUGACGUUCAUACCAUCUAAUUUGCUGCUGAUUAUAACGAAGAAGAGACGUAGUGGAUCCAUGGGCAAAUUUGUUCUAUCAGGAAAGAGUCAGCACUGUCUUUGUAGAGCUGCCUCAUCAGUCUGGGUUCUCCGAAAACACUGACAUUGUGAGUAAGCGUGAUCUAGCUGAUGCUGUAAGCUUGGGUUUCCAAAAGUUUUUUUGAGAAAGACUCACCUAUGGUGCUUAGCAAAAUGAAACUGCUAUGACAUAAGAGGAAAGUCCUCUCCUAGACUUACAACUAGUUGAAAAAUAGACUAGAAAUAAAUGAUACGGUCUCAUAGUGAAGACAGCAAAAAUAAAAGUCAACUAUGAAGAACCAAGGAGGGAUCUUGUGGUACUUGGUAACUAGGGAUGAAGCAGUAGAUGAAGCUGAUACUGGUAGGAUGAAGUAAUGUAUGCAGAGGACAGCAAUCCUACUAUUAUCUACUAAAGAAAUAAUAGUAGGAGAAGAGUAGAGAGCUUGCCUCAGUAAAUCCAAGCACCAAGUAAUUAUUCAGAACUGUUUUUUUCUUUUCUAAGUUACUAUGGGAGAAUAGCAGAGUGACAGAACAUAAAACUGCUUUGCCAGUUUGUAAACCCUGUGCUUUAUCUUGACCUCUGCAUGCAGUUCUGAUCCCCUGUAUUUAAAGAAAGGGGAGAAAAAAAGGGGCUUCGUAGUAAAAGUAGAAAUGGCUGGCAUGAUGAUAAGGAGCCAUUAAAUAGCUUAGUAAUAUUCAGCUUGACAAAGAAACAGCUGAAGGUGAAGAUGAUAAACAUUAUAUAGGAGUGUAAUGGAAAAGAUGAGUAGGGUAUACUCAUUAACCAUCUCCUGUAGUAUGAGACCCAGAGGGGAUAAAAUAAAAUUAUCAAUUGGCAGAUUGAGAACAAAACAAGAGGUUGUAUUUUUCUUGCAGUGAGUAGUUUAACUGUGAACCACUAGAAGUUCAGAUGAAUUUGGGCGUCCAGUGCAAAAGCACCAUUUUGUGCUUAAAAGAGCGCAAGCCGCAGUUUCUUGAGAGCAGGGAGGAUCCUGAGGUGCUUUUCCUGUUUGAAUGCGUUUCCCUGGACCUAUGUUCCCAACCUCUGUGAAAGAUGCAAUGUAGGGGAUAGGUGUAUCUUUGGUUUGACUGAAUACGGUGGUUAGUAUGUAAAACGAAGACUGAUAGCAGUCCCUUGAAGAAAACACUGACUGUAUGCCACUCCUGAUACACUGGGGACAUUUUCUUUAUUUUAUUGGGCCUAAUAACUUAACUGCUUUUAAGACUACUAGUCCUCAUUGUACCAAAUUGAUACUUCAAGUUUAGUGCCCAUACGAUGGAUGUAAUACCUCUGUUCUGAGGUGCCAAUAUUCAGUGCUUGCCUAAAGUAUACUGAGUGCUUAUUGAAGUUUAUCUUCAGAUCAAGUGAAUUAAAAACCUAACUGUGAAAAAUAAACUUUAAGUUGGAAGAACUGGAAGCAGGUUUACCUACAUAAUAAAAUGCUUAUCUAUAUAUUAAAAGGAAAAAUACGUUUUUUGAAUCAUAAAUAUAGAAUCAUAGAAUCUUUAGAGUUGGAAGGGACCUCUGAAGGCCAUCUAGUCCAACUCCCCUGCAAUGAACAGAGAAACCACAGCUAGAUCAGGUUGCCUAGGGCCUUAUUUAGCCUCACCUUGGAAGUCCCCGGGGACGGGGUAAAUAUGAAAGAUAAAUUCCCAUUUCCUAUUAAGAGGGUGAGAUUACAUCUAAGUUUUUGCCUUAUCCAAACAUUCAAGGGCUAAAGGUACAUUGCAGUGAAUAAGGACUUGGAGAAAAUAGGUUAUUAAGAACAAAGGAUAACUUGACUGUUAAAUGUGAAAAUUGCAUUUAAAUUUUAAAAGAAUGUAGGAGUUACAGAGGAAUUACUGAGUCAUGCAACUCAAAUGACAAAUGGAACUAGGGGAAAAAGAAUAACACGAUGAGUCUGGGAAGAAAAGUCUCCCAGUGCUGUGCCCUUUGAGCUUAUGUAAGAACAACCAGCAGAGUACUACGAGCUGUAAGGAGUUAGGGAAUGAGUGUUGGAGUAUAUUCAAAGGCUGACUUUAGCCAAGGAAGAUUGGUUGUUUUGGGUUCCUGUGGGCAGUCACAACAAAACAGCAUCUUCAGUAGGUGGUAUGGGGCACCCAAAGCCAUUUUCUAUUCUGCGUUAUCCUCUAGAGGAGCUUUUCUCUGUCCACAUGGGCCAUAGUUCAACAAGGGAGAUGCAGACUGUUGGUCUCACUGAGUUCAAGUUUCCCUUUACAUACAGCUAUUCUGUGUGUUAGCACAAGACCUAAUUUUUCUAGCUGUUUUAGUAGGUCAUUUUUCUUUUCCAGUGAUACUAGAAUAAAAAUACAUAGGAAGACAAUAGUAGCUAAGCCCAUUUUUAAAGCUUUAGUGAAGAAAAGGUUAUUUCAGACUUCCUAAAAUUCAGGUUGUCCUGCUGUUUUCUAUACUUGCAUGACAGGGUUGAGCCAUGUUAAAAAUAAGAAUAAAUGACUUAAAAAAAGAAAAGUAAAAUCAGAGAUUUUUAUGGAACAAACAGAUUAAAUACCACAGAGAGAUUAUAUGAAGUUUUUUUGAACUACCAAUGCUGGGUAAUAAAGCAUAUUUGGAUAAAGGGGUUAGUUAUGCAUCCCAUUAAACACCCUAAUACACUCUUGUUUCUCAACAAUGGGAGAAGAAUCAGUUUUCUCAUUAUCUCCUUGAACACUAGUUAGGAGUUUUCUAUCUAUUUAACAGUAGCAAAGCAUACUUCAAACUGUCUUUUUUUUUUUUUAACGUUUAUUUUGAUUUCCUAUAGCGGAAUAUGAUGCAAAACAAAUAAAACAUAAGAAAAAAUCUUAGUUCUGCCUCUCUUUGUUGAUUUAUGCAAUAAAGUAAUGAUGCUGAACCAGUGGCAGUCUGACAUUAAAAGAGAAUUUGUGCAGCAGUAAGACCAGACAUCCUAAAACAGAUUUUUAUUAGUGCUGUACUCUGGGAGUUAGACUUCCAAAUAAUUUAAAACUGUACUUUAAAAUGUAAGGCACGGUCUUAAGCAGAUAAGAGAACACACCAGCCAAGCUCACCUCUCAAGUAGUAUUUAUUCCAGUAGGCACUGGAAUGGCCUGCCCAGGGAGGUGGUGGAGUCACCAUCCCUUGCAGUGUUCAAGAGGUGUCUGGCUGAGGAGCUACAAGAUAUGGUUUAGUGGCUUGUGGUAGUAGUGGUAAUGGGAGGCCAGUUGGACUAGAUGAUUUUGUAGGUCCUUUCUGACCUUGUGAUUCUGUGAUUCAUCCCCGUGAUCCCAAUGUUAUCUCAGGAAGUAGAUACUUCUGUGCAUCUUUUAUUGCAUGAAAUCAGCUCUUUGGAAGCUACUCCAGUUGGAUUUUUCUGAUGCAAACUCCUCUGAGAUGACUGAGAAUGCUGCAUCAUUCAGUAUGGUGAAACAUCUGCAUAUGCACUAAACCUUUAUUCUUUUCUUUUAAAUGUCAGCUAGGCUUCAUGUUUUUCUACUUUUUUUCUUUUUAUUCUUUCUCCUUUUUUUGUUUUGGGGAUGGUGCUUGGCUCUGCAGUUAUACCUUAAUGCUUUUCAAAUAGUUGAUUGUAUUUGUUAGUUUUCAUCUGGAUAGUUCUUGCUGUUCGUGAUAGUUGAAGUGGUUGUGCGCUCUAUAAUAAAAAUAAUUCUGAAGUCAAAAUGAAAGUCACGUGCUGUCCUUGACUCAGAUUUCAGUUAUACAAAGACUGUGUUGCUCACAAAUGAAGCUGUAAACUCUUAGGAAACUGUAGAUAAAAUGGAAGCCAGAGCCCAAAGCAAAACUAAACAACUGCUUAUCAGGUCUCUGCUGAACCCUGUGGCUGGGGAUAGAUGUACUUCUGACAUCAUCUUCUGCAGCCUUGCGUCUUGCUGGUUCCUGAAAUGCAACUCUGCAAGUUUAAGGGGAUGAAAUUAUUGCAGAUCACUUUUUGUCCUUUUAGAUGUGCCUUCUCUUACAUUUUUUUUUCUCUGCUUUUUCCCCCAGCCCUACUUUGCAGUUUUACUGUUAAUCAUCAUCCAGAUGCCCACAUAUUAUACUUUAUUGUUUAUUUUGACUUAUCUCAUUGUUUCCUGAAACUUUUAAAUGUCAUCUCCCUCCUUCCUUCUCUCUACCCACAGGUAACUUCUAUUCCAGUGAAUAUUUAGUAGUGUAUGAAAGAUGUAGACAUAACAUUAACUCAAAUCUGGCCACUUUAGAAAGUUCAAAGAUGUUUUUAUUUCACGUGUUCAGUGAGAAAAGGUUGGGCUAACUAAAGUGGUAAUGUGCUGCAUCAGUUUUCUGGUGAGAAAUGCCUUAUGAGGGUUGUUUGGUUCAACAUAUUUUACCUCACAAAAUAAAUGAGCGUAUGAUUGAUAACAGAGACCAAGCCAGUACUGGCAACUUCUUUACCAAUGUCAUUGCAGUUACUUUCUGAUGUGGGCAUUUGCAUAUCAAAUUAGGAAUUUGUAAAGGUGAAAGUGCCUGUGGAGUACAGUUAAGAUGCUUUUGAACAGGAUUGUUCUGUUGAAUGCUUCCUGAUCUCUCAGACAUAUAAGUAAUUUACAAAUUCCCUUGCACGCUUGGCUUAAUACAGAAUGACCCUGUGAACAGACUGCUGGAAAAACCUGCAGAUAAAAGAACCUUCUGAUUUCUCUGUAUUAGUGCUGUAGCCAAGAGGUCAGUAAUGGCUACACUUGCUCUCACUUUUCUGUGAUCCAGUUCUUUGCUGUACAGCUUCUGUUGAGCGUAUGAAAGACAAGGUUGUUGACCCACAGAUGGUAACUAGAAGAGCAGGUUACCAUAGGUAAAGAUGUUGGCUUAUUUUGUGACUGUGCUGCUGGCAAGAGGUUGUUCUAUCAGGGAAGCAACUGAGUUACUUCCCCAUUUUUCCCUUCAGACCAGUUGAAGAGAGUUUAGCUCAUCUGUGGGAGCAAUGAACACAGGUACAAUUCAUAGAGCCAUUUAAGUUGGAAAAGACCUUCAAGAUCAUCAGUCCCAACCAUCAGCCUGACCUACAGAGUCCUACCACUAAACUGUAUCUCUUAGUGCCAUACCUACACAUCUCUUAAAUAUCUUCCAGGAUGGGGACUCUACCAUUUCCCUGGGCAGCGCACUCCAACACUUAGCCACCUCUCUCUAGAUUAGACAGUAGGAGGAAAUUUUUACUCAGAAGGUGGUGAGGUACUGGAACAAAUUGCCCAGAGAAGCCCUGGAUGCCCCAUCCCUGGAGGUGCUCAAGACCAGUUUGGAUGGGGCCCUGAGCAUUCUGAGCUGAUAGAUCACAGCCCUGCCCACAGCAUGGGGGGACAGGUCUAGGUGAGGUCCUUUAUGGUUCUUUCCAAUUCAAGCCAGUCUGUGUUUCCCUACAUGAGGAAAUUCUUUCUGAUAUCCAGUCUAAACUUCCCCUGGCACAUCUUGAGCAUGUCUCCUUGUGUCUUAUCUCUCAUCACCAGAGAAGAUAGACCACCA
This 9055-nucleotide long non-coding RNA is filed under the name Gallus gallus (chicken). The record is from RNAcentral. Lineage: Eukaryota; Metazoa; Chordata; Aves; Galliformes; Phasianidae.